This 73-nucleotide transfer RNA is filed under the name Ixodes scapularis (black-legged tick). RNAcentral describes it as "tRNA-Lys". It matches the Rfam family "tRNA". From Rfam's summary of the family: Transfer RNA (tRNA) molecules are approximately 80 nucleotides in length. The record is from RNAcentral. Lineage: Eukaryota; Metazoa; Arthropoda; Arachnida; Ixodida; Ixodidae.
GCCCGGCUAGCUCAGUCGGUAGAACACGAGACUCUUAAUUUUGGGGUCGUGGGUUCGAGCCCCAUGUUGGGCG